Molecule: RNA transcript, 3165 nt
Organism: Portunus trituberculatus (swimming crab)
Lineage: Eukaryota; Metazoa; Arthropoda; Malacostraca; Decapoda; Portunidae
Gene name: protein phosphatase 1B-like
Exons: 11
Source: RefSeq, a predicted model, not a curated record
GAGAUAGGAGAAGAUUCGAGUACGACUUGGCGAUGCUCACUUCUUGUUGAUUCCUUUGCCCGCAGUGGACUUUUGAACGUUGAAAUUGUAUUUGUGGAGUUUAUACUCAGUGUUCAUCGAUGGCAGUAUUAUUUGUGUUGUUGUAAUAUGAAGAAGUGAUCUUAUCAUGGGUGCAUUUCUAGAUAAGCCAAAAACAGACAAACACAACGAGAAUGGGGUUGGCAAUGGACUUCGUUAUGGGCUGUCUAGUAUGCAGGGCUGGCGCAUUGAAAUGGAGGAUGCCCAUGCUGCUGUAGCCAAUCUUCCUGGUGUUCUAAAGGAUUGGGCAUUUUUUGCUGUGUUUGAUGGCCAUGCCGGUGCCAAAAUAUCGGCACACUGUUCAGAGCACCUCCUGAAUUCCAUCACAUCAGGCGAGGAAUUUCUACCAUCCUCAAUUGCUGAGUUUGAGACAGAUUCAGAGGAGAGGACUAUAAACAAGAUUAAGAAGGGUAUUCAUGCCGGUUUUUUAAGACUAGAUGAGUCUAUGCGGCAAAUGCCAGAGGUUGCCAGUGGGGAAGAUAAGAGUGGCACAACUGCUGUAUGUGCCCUAAUUUCUCCAACACAUGUGUUUGUUGCCAAUUGUGGAGAUUCCCGUGGAGUCCUAUACCGUGGUGGUGGUAUUGGGUUCAGCACGCAGGAUCACAAGCCAGUCAAUCCUACAGAAAAGGAGAGAAUUCAAAAUGCUGGAGGAAGUGUGAUGAUACAGAGAGUUAAUGGCUCUCUGGCUGUUUCAAGAGCACUUGGAGAUUAUGAGUACAAAAAUGUAGAGGGGAAGGGUCCUUGUGAACAGUUAGUGUCCCCAGAGCCAGAGAUAUAUGUGGAACGCCGGCAAGAUGAUGAUGAGUUCUUAGUGUUAGCAUGUGAUGGAAUUUGGGAUGUUAUGACCAAUGAAGACCUGUGUGCCUUUGUGCGGUCAAGACUUCUCAUCUCUGAUGACCUUGAAGCCAUUACAAACCAUGUUGUUGACACAUGCCUUCAUAAGGGAAGCAGAGAUAAUAUGAGCUUAGUGUUGAUUACUCUGCCAGGAGCACCAAAAGUUUCAGAAGAGGCUAAGAAGAAAGAACAAGAACUUGAGGACUUGAUAGAAAAGAAAGUAACUGAGUUAUGUAAACAGGAGGGACAAGUGAGCAUUGCACAGAUAAUGCAGUCCCUUGCUGAUGAAAAUCUACCCAAUCUUCCUCCUGGUGGAGGUCUAACAUCCAAGCGAGGCUUCGUGGAUCAAAUAUUCAGAAAAUUGCGACCUGACUGUGCAAACUUGGAUAACAUGGAAGAAGUUGAGGAUUAUGGUGGACUGGUUGGUAAUUUGAUGUUCCUCCCAAGUACAUCCAUGCAAGACAAGCUAGCCUCCAUUUUGGAAAUCUCCCGAUCCCGUGAUGACUCCUCUUAAGAAUGUUGGUGAUGAUGCAGGGUUGCUCAGGGUUAGGGUGGGGGUACAAGGAUAAUGAUGCCUACAGUAGUGAUUGUUGCACCUAGGGUCUCCUGAUCUUAUCACCAGCCACAGCUACCCAGCGGUUAAAAAAAAAAAAAAAAAAAAAAAAAAAAAAAAGAUAAAAAAACUUUUAAAGUGUUGAUGUGCUGAUGUUACAGUUUAUGCAAGUGUGCAGAAGCAUUCAACAAACAGGUCAAGUUCAGUGAUGAAUUGACCUUGGGUGAAGCCUUAGUGAUGCUUUUACUCACCAUUGCAUGACUAAUCUUGGUCAUGAUACAUUAAUGUUAUUUGUGUUAAUGGUGGGGAAGUCUGUGGGAAUGUUUCCCUGGGUUCUUAAUGAUGAUAGUUUGUAAUCCGGGCUUACUCAUGUAGCUUUCUAGCUGUGUAACUUAUUUACUUAUCUGCCAUGAAUUUUUGUAAGAAAACCCAGGUACGUAUUACCUAUGAUACAUUAGAGAACCCAGUUGUUCAUUUGCCAACUACUCCACUGCAUGGCUAUGUCACGGAUCUGAGAGGUGUUAUUAGAAGCAGAAAAAAAGUGUGUGUAAUGCUGUCAGGCCUGAGGCUUCAUAUAUGGUUGAUGAGUCACUGACUUGCCCUAAAUAUUUUUGCAGUCAGAUGUGCUAGUUUCAUAAUGUGAUAGUCGUAAUGCUUUCCCCUUCCAGACAAAACUUAGUAUCACCUGUGAAUCACUGAGUGUAUAGAGCCAGUCCAUUUUGAUAUAUAUAUAUAUAUAUAUAUAUAUAUAUAUAUAUAUAUAUAUAUAUAUAUAUAUAUAUAUAUAUAUAUAUAUAUGUGUGUGUGUGUGUGUGUGUGUAUGUAUAUAUAUCAAGGUCAUAGUUAAGACUGAAAUCUCGCAAUUAUUAAUCCUUACUGUAUGUUUCGGUUUAUAAGGUAACUGAUCUUGUAAAAGAAUUUAGAUUUUCAAGAUAAGUUGAGUUUUUUUUAGCAAUUUUCUCUGUAUUAGAUGCUGUCCUCUCCCUUAAUGGUGCAUCUGUUCAAGAGAAAUGAGGCUUCAACUGAACCUUUUACGACUGUGAAGGCAUGACUGCUCUUGAAACCGAAUGAAUCUAGUUCCACAUGGAUGUUCAUGGACGGUUUCCCAAGUUAUUUAGUACUCAUAACAUACUACCCACAUCACCAUUAUUUAUCUAUUUAAUUGUAUCAAAACUUGCUUCCAGAAAAUCUUUAUCUCUGCACUUUCUUGUUAGGGAAUAUUACAUUUAGAAAAUUUAUGAAAACUGAAAAUUUCACAAAAUUAUCAAAAUAUUUUUUUUCUAAUACUGUCAAUCAUUAGUAAUACUUUUUUUGCAUAAGUAAAGGCUGUAUCUCAACUUUUUGUUUAAAAACAAAAGAACAUUACUUUUGAAAAUAACAUAUUGAUGCAUUUCUUCUUUACUGUGUGGGUUAUCACAUGUGUUGCAUUAUUUCCAUUUUCUUUUCAUGCAUGUAGUUAACAGUAGGAAAAUUCUUGUAAUUUCAACUUGUGUUUAGUAUGAUAAAUUUGGCACUUCUUUUGAAAAAUUACAUCCAAGUAUUGUAUGGACUGGAUGAGGACCUUAUCAGUGCUGGCCUAAGUUUUUGAGAGGAAAUAUUCAUGCCACCUCUCAUCUCCAUCUUAUGCCAGUAUUCCUGCAUUUAUAAAAGUACUUGAAAGAUUAAUUUUUGUCUCUCAAAACUUAUGAGCUAUUGGAAAA